Non-coding RNA from Termitomyces sp. 'cryptogamus', 96 nucleotides. NCBI's taxonomy places the organism in Eukaryota, Fungi, Basidiomycota, Agaricomycetes, Agaricales, Lyophyllaceae. The record is from the annotation of a GenBank genome assembly.
GGCCGACUAGCUCAGCUGGUUAGAGCGUCGUGCUAAUAUCUUCAGGUCUCCUAUAGUUAUACGCGAAGGUCUUGGGUUCGAUCCCCACGUUGGCCA